This 253-nucleotide ribosomal RNA is filed under the name uncultured bacterium. Its description in RNAcentral is "partial 16S ribosomal RNA". It matches the Rfam family "Bacterial small subunit ribosomal RNA", at positions 524 to 776 of the family's 1533-position model. The record is from RNAcentral.
UACGGGGGGUGCAAGCGUUGUCCGGAAUUACUGGGCGUAAAGGGCUCGUAGGCGGUCUACUAAGUCAGACGUGAAAUCCCUCAGCUUAACUGAGGAACUGCGUCUGAUACUGGAUGGCUUGGAUUUGGGAGAGGGAUGCGGAAUUCCAGGUGUAGCGGUGAAAUGCGUAGAUAUCUGGAGGAACACCGGUGGCGAAGGCAGCAUCCUGGACCAAUAUUGACGCUGAGGAGCGAAAGCUAGGGGAGCAAACGGG